Molecule: ribosomal RNA, 254 nt
Filed under: uncultured bacterium
Lineage: Bacteria
Description: partial 16S ribosomal RNA
Rfam family: Bacterial small subunit ribosomal RNA
Source: RNAcentral
UACGAAGGGGGGCUAGCGUUGCUCGGAAUCACUGGGCGUAAAGCGCACGUAGGCGGCUUUUUAAGUCAGGGGUGAAAUCCUGGAGCUCAACUCCAGAACUGCCUUUGAUACUGGGAAGCUUGAGUCCGGAAGAGGUGAGUGGAAUUCCGGGUGUAGUGGUGGAAUGCGUAGAGAUCCGGAGGAACACCAGCGGCGAAGGCAGCUCGCUGGGACGGUACUGACGCUGAGACGCGAAAGCGUGGGGAGCGAACAGG